GACGAACGCUGGCGGCGUGCUUAACACAUGCAAGUCGAGGGGGUGAGCAAUCACUCACCGGCGAACGGGUGCGUAACACGUGAGCGACCUGCCCACUUGUGGGGUAUAGCCGGCCCAACGGCCGGGUAAUCCCGCAUACGCUUCUCUGGCUGCAAGGCCGGAGGAGGAAAGCCGUAAGGCGCAAGUGGAGGGGCUCGCGGCCUAUCAGCUAGUUGGCGGGGUUAACGGCCCACCAAGGCAAUGACGGGUAGCUGGUCUGAGAGGAUGGCCAGCCACAUUGGGACUGAGAUACGGCCCAGACUCCUACGGGAGGCAGCAGUGGGGAAUCUUGCGCAAUGGUCGAAAGACUGACGCAGCGACGCCGCGUGCGGGAGGAAGCCCCUUCGGGGUGUAAACCGCUGUUACUCGGGACGAAUCUCCUGCUUUGGCAGGAUUGACGGUACUGGGGGCAGGAAGCACCGGCUAACUCUGUGCCAGCAGCCGCGGUAAUACAGAGGGUGCGAGCGUUGUCCGGAAUCACUGGGCGUAAAGGGCGCGCAGGCGGCUUUUUCAAGCGUGCGGUGAAAGCUCGGGGCUUAACUCCGAGNCUGCCGUGCGAACUGGGAGGCUUGAGUC
Molecule: ribosomal RNA, 615 nt
Filed under: uncultured bacterium
Lineage: Bacteria
Description: bacterial SSU rRNA
Rfam family: Bacterial small subunit ribosomal RNA
Source: RNAcentral